Molecule: ribosomal RNA, 630 nt
Filed under: uncultured Actinomycetes bacterium
Lineage: Bacteria; Bacillati; Actinomycetota; Actinomycetes
Description: bacterial SSU rRNA
Rfam family: Bacterial small subunit ribosomal RNA
Source: RNAcentral
UCGCGGCCUAUCAGCUUGUUGGUGAGGUAACGGCUCACCAAGGCGACGACGGGUAGCUGGUCUGAGAGGACGAUCAGCCACACUGGGACCGAGACACGGCCCAGACUCCUACGGGAGGCAGCAGUAGGGAAUCUUGCGCAAUGGGGGAAACCCUGACGCAGCGACGCCGCGUGCGGGACGAAGGCCCUAGGGUUGUAAACCGCUUUCAGCAGGGACGAAAUUGACGGUACCUGCAGAAGAAGGCCCGGCCAACUACGUGCCAGCAGCCGCGGUAAUACGUAGGGGCCAAGCGUUGUCCGGAAUCAUUGGGCGUAAAGAGCUCGUAGGCGGUUUGGUAAGUCGGAUGUGAAAUCUCCACGCUCAACGUGGAGCGGCCAUUCGAUACUGCCAUGACUGGAGUCCGGUAGAGGAGUGUGGAAUUCCCGGUGUAGCGGUGAAAUGCACAGAUAUCGGGAGGAACACCAGUAGCGAAGGCGGCACUCUGGGCCGGUACUGACGCUGAGGAGCGAAAGCGUGGGGAGCGAACAGGAUUAGAUACCCUGGUAGUCCACGCCGUAAACGUUGGGCACUAGGUGUGGGGCUCUAUUCCACGGGUUCCGUGCCGCAGCUAACGCAUUAAGCGCCCCGCCU